RNAcentral lists this ribosomal RNA (253 nucleotides) under uncultured bacterium. RNAcentral's name for it is "partial 16S ribosomal RNA". It matches the Rfam family "Bacterial small subunit ribosomal RNA", at positions 524 to 776 of the family's 1533-position model. The record is from RNAcentral.
UACGAAGGGGGCGAGCGUUGUUCGGAUUUACUGGGCGUAAAGGGCGCGCAGGCGGUUCUGUUUGUCGAGUGUGAAAGCCCCGGGCUCAACCUGGGAACUGCGCUCGAAACGGCGGAACUAGAGUUCGGGAGAGGAGAGUGGAAUUCCCAGUGUAGAGGUGAAAUUCGUAGAUAUUGGGAAGAACACCGGUGGCGAAGGCGGCAUCCUGGACCAAUACUGACGCUGAGGAGCGAAAGCCAGGGGAGCAAACGGG